UCAUCAAGACUAGAACAAUUGGAUUCACUAAGAAAGGAUCUUGAGAAUGAGAAUAAUAGUAUGUUAAUGGUUCUGGAAAAGUUUAAAGAAGAGGAGGUGAAACAAGUAGACUGUAUGUUGAAUAUAGAUUGCUGAAACAAUAGUAUGAGAAUAAUAUUAUUAUUGUUUUGUAUUUACUUAAUGAAAUCUCAUUUCUACAACAUUGUUAAUUCUUUUUUUUUAAUAUAGAUUGCUGAAACAAGUAGACUGUAUGCUUAAGAGAAAGAAGAGGAGGUGAAAUUAUAUGAGAUUUCUGUUGAAGAGCUGGAUUGUAUGGUGAUUGUCCUUGAAAACCAGGUUGACAUGGUCAAAGGAGAUGCUGAAAGGCAACGAUUGCAAAGGGAAGAGCUAGAACUAGAGUUUCAUGCUUUUAAACAACAAAUCAACCAAGUCAAAACUAGUGAUUAAGACAUAAAAAGAGCUUUGAAUGAAAAAGAGAAAAGUCUUCAAGAGUCCCUUCAGCGGGUUGAACUUCUUGAAAAAGAGAUUGCCAACAAAGAUAAAGUGGUGCAAGUUCUUCUCUUUUUUCUUGUAUCUGAUUAAAACCAUACGUAAGUUAACUAAUUUAACCUGUAUUUUUAUUCUUUUUUAAUUUUUUCUCAAAUUGUCCAACAUAAAGCUCACAUUUCCGAGCUUAAUCUGCAUGCUGAAGCUCAAGGUAGAGAAUACAAACAAACGGUAAACAAUAGUUAGAUUUUUUUUGAUUAAAUUCUUGAUAUUUUUUUACAAUCUUAACUUCAAAAAACAGUUUAAAGCAUUGGAGGCAAUGGUUGUUGCUGACCAAGUCAAAUCAAAUAUUUUUGUUUCCCACAUCUCAAAUUCACCAUCAAAGAAACUAGAAAAGAAUGGAUCAAGAACAAGAGGUUAUGGUUCCCCUUUUCAAUGCAUAAGAAUAGGAUUAACACAACAAAUAAAAUCUGAGAGAGAUUAAGAGCUUACUACUGCAAGAAAGCGAAUUGAAGAGCUUGAAGCAUUGGCUGCAAGUCGCCAAAAAGAGGCAUAAAUUUCAAAUCAUUUUAUAGAUAAAAUUUAUCUUUUUCUGAAAGAACAUCAUGUGAAACUUUCUGCAUUAAGUGAAGAAACACUCAUAUAUAGCUUACUGGAUUAAGGGAUUGUUUCUUUCUACUUAGUAUUUCUUACUGUUUGUGAACAAGCCUCUCAUCUCACAUUUGAGUUUAUAGGAAUCAACAAUCACUAUGAAACUUCUAGUGUUUAGA
Long non-coding RNA from Lactuca sativa (garden lettuce), 1256 nucleotides. RefSeq lists it as uncharacterized. The record is from RefSeq and is a predicted model, not a curated record. NCBI's taxonomy places the organism in Eukaryota, Viridiplantae, Streptophyta, Magnoliopsida, Asterales, Asteraceae.